GUAGGUCUGCGUUGGGUGUACAGGAAUUCUUCCACCACAAAUAUACUUACUCUACAUUCUGAUUUAUUUCCUGAAGUUUUCCUUGGAUAACUUUUUGGGAAUAAUGAAUGUUUUGGUUCCAGUGAGUUUCAAGGUCCCUCUUUUGGUGUAUCUAGAAAUAACAGAAACAAGGGAUUCAGAAUUAAAGAUAAAAGACAAGGUUUUGGCCAAGAAGUUUUUUUUCUCAUGAGUUUCUGCUAAAGGAGAGACGGCGCUGAGAGAAUUAAAUGAGGUAUUGAACGUGGGGUCACAAUUCAGGGCCUCCAGAGGCCAGAAGGGUAGCACAAAGGGUGGUAAAACUGUUGGGAAUGGGAGGGCCUAUGAGGCUCCCCUCACACAGGCCCUUACCUCAGGAGCUUUGCUGGCCAAAGUAGUGGUUUCCAGGGAGAACCCUGUGAGGAAGCGAUAGGAAGUGAAAAUUAAUUGUAUGUUUCUUUCUUUCUUUUUUCUUUCUUUCUUCCUCCCCACCAUGUUCUCUUCCUCCCUCCUGCCUCUCUUUUCUUCCUCACCUUUCUUUCUUUCUUCAAGCCUUUCUUUUUUUUUUUUUUCCUACUUUAGGAUAUCUAGAUCAUAAUUGAUAUUCUUUUUGUUGUUCCAUCUAUAUUAUUUAAAAGAAUACAAAAUAUUUGUAAGGACUUCUGUAGUUUCACUUACAAUGUUUUGAAGUGAAUUUCAAAAUAUAAUUUCACUAUAGGAUGGGAAAUUCCCCAACCUUGAAUUCUACCAAAAUGAAGUUUCCAGAAACUUAAAUCAAGCAGUUAGAAAGAGACACUUAUAUAGUUAGAAGCCAUUCCAGGUAGUGUUUGACAAAACCUAAGAGUAGUUAAGGCUAAUAGCCAUCCUAAUUCUUCUCCUUGCCAAGUUGAAAGACUCUGCUACGUAAGCAUAAAAGCAUAGCUCAGCUGAGGGUUCAGCCUUUUACUUGGGAGUUGAUCUGUUAGACUCUGGUCUAAUGUUGUUGGGAAUAGAAAGAGAGAAAAUUGAAUUUACCAAAAUUUGUCUUAUGAUGCAUAUUCUUUAUAGUUAAAAGGAAUAAUGUUAUAGGUGGAUGGUGAGGCUGUGGAGAGCAUAACUGAAUAACAACAGAUGGUCACUAGAUUACCUUCUAAAGAAGCUGGUGGUAGUUAAAACAGGGAUUUAUUUUACGGAGUGAGUUUUCAAACUAGACUACUGUCCGCAGAAUUCUUUUCUCUUUUCAUUCCCUUCAUAGCUCUUUGUUUCUUGUCUAUAUAAACAUGGAGAAGAUAUUUUUAAAAAAUGAGUUUAGAAAUGUGCCAAAUGUUAGUCUACCUGGGUUGGCCAUGUUAGCGUCUCCAUCUCAGCCUUGACGCUUUCCUUCUUGAAAAUGUUGGUUGCCCCUGAACGCUCCUUUAGCCCCUUCUCAAUAUUUUGCCUUUUGUACCAAUUAUGUUGGACAGAUUCUAAGAUGGGCUCCACCCUCCAUGCCUCCUGCCUCCUCAUGUUCAUGCUCUUGUAUAAUUCCCUUCCCUUGAGGGUGGGUGGGACCUGUGACUUAUUUUAACCAAUAGAAUAUGGCAAAAGUAAAAGAUAUCACCCCUGUGAUUACACUGUUAUUUAAGACUGACUUGGUAGCAGACCUGCUCUAAAGACUCACCUUCUAACAUGAAGUUAGAAUCCAUUUGAGAAAGUCCACAUGGCAGGGAACUGAAGGCAACUUCUGGGAACUGAGGGCAGCCUCCAGCCUCCAACCAGUAAGAAGACAGGGCCAUCAGUGCUACAACCACAAGGAGGAGAAUUCUGUCAACAAUUGGAACACAUUCUUCUAUUCCCAAGAUCUGGACAGCCAAGGAAACAAGCAAUUCUUCUAUGGCAUCAAGUCUAUGGUGCUUACCUUACUUGAGUCGCGGAAUUAUGGAAGACAAGCAGUUUAAUUUCACAAGUAGUCAUUGAGCUCCUGUUAUGUUCUCAGCACAGCAGUAGACAGAAAUGAUAAUGAGGGGCGUAAACCUCAGUCUCAGCCUUUAAAGAAUUCCUGAUCUAGCACAGAUAAAGUGAGCUGCUUUUCUUUUUUCUUGGAGAUCCUGGGCUUCAGACAGAGAGACUGCUGGGGGAUGUGCAAGGUGGAAAGCCGUGUUUGUGAUUCAACCCCCUCACUCUGAAGUAGAGAGCUAAAGCUAAGAGCACAUUGACUGACGACGGGAUUUAGAAGCAUCUGCUAUCUACCAAGCCAAGAUGGGGAAACGCCCACAGGGAUGAGAGGAAGGAAUUCAUAGCAUGUACAGUGAAUCGUGUUGUUGUCUAAUACUAUGCUGCUAGGAGAUGGAGUAUUUGGUUCUGUGGAGCAUGCAGCAGUCCCACUGGAAUUCUAACAUAGGCCAGGUUACAUGAAUAAGAAAGAUGGACUUUAAUGAAGAUUAUUCCCUUUGAUGUAAGAGAGACCCAUGAAAGCAUCCAAACAAAAGAAAGGAAGAAGCAAGGAUUAAGACAGUCAACUCUCCCUUAGCCACAAGCCUGAAGAAAGAGCAGGGCCUGUUUCUCUGUCGUUGUGACCACGCCAGGCCUCGUGCAGGGCCCGACCUGUGGAAGUGACUCAGGAACUGCCAGUUUUAAGUGUCCCUUUUGUGAAACUGUAACACUCAUUUCGUCUAACUUCUGCUUUACAGCCUGGCACUAAGAUGCCAAAGUUUUUCUAGUUUUAGCUCAUAAUCGACUUCUCUAUGACUCAGGUCUCUCUCGUAGAAAAGAUAAUGCUGCCAGUGGCAGUUGCCUCACAGGCUCUGUAUCACCACUCCUACCCCCCUACAAACACUCAAAUUGGCUCCAGACUGGUUCUGGAUUAGUUAAUUCCUAAGCUCUUUCUGUGUUUUCCUGUAUUUGAAGAGCACAUGUCAGAGAGUUUGGUCCUCACAUACACGUUUCCAAAGCAGUAACAGCAGCUCAGUUCUAGGACGUUGGUCCUGCUGAAACCCAGGGAGGGAAAGGGAGAACUUUCUCUAGGGGGCAGUUUUCAUAGGCCCCUUAAAUUCCAUAGCAAGGGCUCUGUUAACAGACACUGAGGCAUAGGAGUAAGAAUGUCUGCUAGCAUGAGGGUAUGGGAAUAUGCUUCUAGAAAGAGUCAUACUCAGUAGAGGACCAGGGUGCCAGGGACACAGGAAUCAAAGGAGAAAUGGAAAUCAGGAACGUUUAAAUACAUUGAAUGGGAAACAAUGAUACCUCGGAAAAGACUUGAUGAUUGGACUGCUACCGUUGCAAAUUUCUAAACUCUAGAACACAUGCUAUGUCAAAUGGCGCUUUCUGGGAUGGGAGAUAGAACUCAUAGGUGGAGUUCCCUCUCAGAUAUGAUAGAAGUACUGUGCCCAAAUUAACUGUUGUUUAAAAAGACCUCUCAACAGAGUUUAAAUUUGCAGGUGAUGGUUUUCUUGAGCAGGCAUGGCCUGAUUGACCUCCUUUGGAGGCGGAAUCAAAAUUUCGCCCAUAUACCCCCUUCUCUCAGAUAUCAUUGACUCUUUGCUGUAUUCUUCGGCAGCCCUAAGUUCUGGGUUUCUUUGCCUGAGAUGAGGGCUUGAGGACUGGGAAUUACCUUCGCUUCUACAUUGUUAGGUUUACAGCAUACUGGAGUAAUCUCUUAUGUUCUAAUAAAUGUUUGAACUCUUUAAAAAGUGAGGUACAUGACGGACUUGAUGUGGAACUAAUUCAGCUUCUGUGGUCCAAAGGAGCCACCUAUAUUCCAGUGAUGGACAACACAGGCUGUGGUUGCUAAAGGAACCAAAUUCUAUUCAGGCAUUGAGAAAACAUCUUCAACUAAGGGAAAGCAGAAUACAAAAAGGACUUCACUUUCUUUGGGCUUUUCGUACCCGAGGACAAGAAUAUUUGAUUUUGGAGUUGAAUUACUUUGAAUUUUGAUGUAUUUGAACUUGACUUUCCAGACAAUCUAAUCUAUGGACUUUAUCCCAAAAAAUUUUAUCCUGGAAGGGAGUUUAUAUUCCGAUAUUGGGAAUUUUAUUAUUGGAUUAAUUUGAAAUUUCCUGGUGAGUUAUAUUAGGCAGUGUGCUUGAACAGAAAUCAGGAUGGGGAAAACAUAGGCAGGCAAAUAUCGGUUGGCUACAGUGGUCUUAAAAUUAAUUUAAUUAAUGACCUGUUUCAGUGGGGAAACAUCUACACUGUCAUCAGCAACCUCAGUAGAGUCCUCAAUGCAGGAGGGAUUGGUAUGGGGGAGAACUUUAUAAAAAUAGAAUUAGACGACCCUAAUGGGCUGCCCAAAUUCUCCCUCAAGGAGAUAACCAUACCAUUUUGACCAUAUAUUUAAAGUUAAACCAAAUGAGUUAAGAGAACCAAGGUCUUGGGAGUAUUGAUUGGAAAGCAUCCGUUAUCCUGGUUCAUGUUCCCAAGGGAAGCAACAUCCAUCAGCAUAACCUCUUGGCUCCUCUCCUCUCAUCUUACUCACUCCCUUUCAAGGCAGGUGGAAUGAAUGAUCAAGUUGGGGAGACAGGGAGAAGAACCAGGGAUGCUCAGUCCUUUCUUUGCUCUCCUUUUGGGCUCUUUCUGCCUUCAGAGAGCCUACGUUCUUCUCUGCUCUUGGCCAUGAGCUAAGCUUAGUGCUUGAAGCUUCUCUUGGGGAGGACUACAGUUUUGUCAUGCUAUUCAAGAUUGAGGUGCAGUAUUAUGAAAUCUGUUGUUGCUUUUCACUUAAACCACAAUCUCUGUCACUUCUAUAAUUGAAAAAGUUGACGUUUUGAACUCUCUCUGCCUUGUCAUAGAUGCUGGAAAGACUUCUAUUUAUAUGCUAGAUAGUCUUUGUCAAACUACUUAACCUAUUUCUCAAUUUCCUCUUGUGUAAAAUGGGGGAAAACCUGUAUCUACUUUUACAAGAUUGUUAUAUGUUAAAAGAGUUAAUGGAAAGUGCUUAGGAAAGUACUAUGUGAGUGUUUGCUAUUACUUCUUUAUCUUGCCUAUCAAUUUGUACAGAAUUUGGGGAAUGGGGAUGAGAGAUGCUUUUUAUUGGGUCUCCCAUGAAGUCCAAUAAUCAGUACUACGUACACACACACAAUAAUGUCAUAGUCCUGGCUUCAGUUUAGUAGUAGGAACAGACAAGUGAAUUGAUAAUUGUAGUACUGCGUGUGACGUGUUAUUAUAAAGACAUGCUAUGUGCUAUGAGAAGUCAGAGAUGGGAGCAACUGACAAUUCAUAUGUUACUACAGCUGUACUCGAGACUAGGCCAAGACAGAUUGUGAAUUGGAGCCUAAUAUUUUUCAGCCCCAGAGUUAUACUUUCAUUGUAGUGCCCUCCUUCCCCAUUUUUCUGCCACACAGUGAUCUAUGCUCUCUCACCACUCCCUGGCUGCCCUCCUGGAGUUGCUCCCUCCAAUAUUCAGUUCCAGAUUCAAUAGCAGGUUGGCACAACGGCUGCCUGAGGCACCCAUCCAUAUGAGCUGCCAAACCAUCAGCUGAGGAUUGAAAACAUCCCUGGAUAUAUAACAAGGUAGAGAAAAUUGAGUUUAUCAGAAAAGAAAGGACAUGUGUACCAGACGAGGAUUAUAGUCCAAGCAGCAGAAGCUAGCUGGGGAUGAUUAAGCAGAAAAGGAAUUUAUUAAAAAGAUAUUUAGCAGAUCACAGAAUCAUCAAAAGCAAGCUGGAAACUAAGUAUUUAGGGCAAUGUUCCAAAACCACGUUGUACUGCCGGUCUGGUGAGAAAACUGCAGCUGAGGCCACUGCACAAUAGAUAAAACGAUUUGCACCACUGCCGUUUGUGCAUCAGAACGUCACUGCUUCUGCAACCACUGUUGCUGCCUGUACUGAUGCCUCUUCCUCACCAGCAAAGCAACUUGCAUCUUCUAUAGCCACUCCAGACAAUGCUGGAUAUUUCUCCUUUGGUCUUGCAGCACAACAACAGCAGAAAAACAGAUUCUGUGCAAUUCUUGCUUUUGUUACUGCUUACUUUCUAUAACAGUUUUGAAAAGGUGGCAUCCGGUUGGUGGAGUCCAGGUAACAGGUUUGAAUUCUAGCUUCAAAGAAGCUGACAAAGCCAUGUCUCUGGCUUCUCCCUUGGGGUGGUGUUGGAAAGGUCUUAGGAAGCCAGAACACAUGACAGAUGUCUAGUAUACCACUAAGAACCUUGGAGGAAGAGUGAGACCCUUUAAAGACUUGAUUGAAUAAUGAUUGAUGCUAGUAAAUACUUUAUAAAGUCUUUUUCUUUCUUUUUCAAAUUAAUGGAAAGGUUUUCUUUUUCUUUUUUUUUCCUUUUUCCUGGAAGUUUGGAGCCAGAACUCAGAAAAAUACAUGCAAGGCCAAGCACAUCCACUAUGGGUUCCCUUUAUCCAACAUUCCCCACACACUGAUCUGCCUCUCCUUUAAGUGUUGAAUACAUAUUGAAAGCAAAUUAUUUUGAAGGUGCAUUGAGUUACUAGCCUACCUGGGGUACUCACAUGUCUUCAUAUUUAAUGGUGUGUCAUGGUAAAGUUCUCUCCCUGCCUUCUCCAAAGUACGGUAUCAAAGAUUUUCUUGUUGAAAUAAGACAGUGUCAGAUAUUGUCUGAUCUUCAAAGCCUUCUGAAAUCGGGACUAAAUUAGCUCUUCAUCUUCUAGUACAUUCUUCCCCUUACCAGAUGCCAUGAUCACACUGGGCACUAUAGGCCUUGCUCAAAUAUAUCAUUCUAUUCGUGCUUCCAAGUAUUUAUGAAUUCAGGCCUUGAUGACAAAAUGCCUUCAAGUCUUGGCUCUGAAAUCUCAUAGAUAAGAUAGUUUGGUCAAGUUUUCUUCCAUAAAAAAGGAAAUACCAAUACUAUCAAGUAAAUACUCAGAAAAUGUUAGCCAUUAUUAUUAUUAUUAUUAUUGUUUUUUCUUCUUUCACAGUUGAAGUUCUACCCAAACUACCAGUUAAAAGGAAAUGCAAAUGCUUCCAGAGAACCCCACUCCCACCACCACUGUCCCCUCAAACACAAUUUUUCUUUGUUCUCCUUUUAUAACACUCAUCACAUUUUCACAGACUGGUUGUAUUAGAGUCACAUAUUAGCUAUUCCAACUGCCAUCACUUCCUUUGUGAC
Equus caballus (horse) is the source of this 7038-nucleotide long non-coding RNA. The record is from Ensembl. NCBI's taxonomy places the organism in Eukaryota, Metazoa, Chordata, Mammalia, Perissodactyla, Equidae.